RNAcentral lists this ribosomal RNA (561 nucleotides) under Triticum aestivum (bread wheat). RNAcentral's name for it is "partial small subunit ribosomal RNA". Lineage: Eukaryota; Viridiplantae; Streptophyta; Magnoliopsida; Poales; Poaceae. The record is from RNAcentral.
AUGACUCGUAUCCGUCCAUCCGUGUCCGACUCCGGUCGUGGCCGCAAGCCCAAUUUCGACUUGCCUUGCUGGUCCUGGUGUACGAGCAUAUAUAAAUUGAAGCGAGGGCCAGGCCAUGGUGUACGAGCAUCGCAGUCGCAGACAAGCGCUUUGUGUUCCUGGUUUUUAGUUGGCGAUCGUGAUCCUCGGGCCGGCAGUAGUAGAACGAUCCGCCUCCCCAACGCAAAAGCGCCGCCGGAAUCGAUGAAGCUUCUUCCGGCCGCCCUCGGCCUUGUCCUCAUCCUCCUCCUCGUUCUGAAUCCCAAUGGCGUGGAGGCCCGGCCUGCGCCUACCGGCGGCCAUGAGAAGAAGGCGUCGAGCGCCACCUUCUUCGUGUUCGGGGAUGACUUCGCCGACAACGGGAACCUCCCUCUGAUCCACCCCGUCAUAGAGAUGUCGCGGCAAUGGGCCUACCCCUACGGCUCCAACUACAUCGAUGCCGAUGGGUUUCCGCGGCCGAACACUCCGUCCGGCCGCUUCUCAAACUACAAAAUCCAGUCGGAUUUCAUCGAUAAGUACUAG